RNAcentral lists this ribosomal RNA (1007 nucleotides) under Acinetobacter baumannii. Its description in RNAcentral is "partial 23S ribosomal RNA". It matches the Rfam family "Bacterial large subunit ribosomal RNA", at positions 1924 to 2925 of the family's 2925-position model. The record is from RNAcentral. RNAcentral also lists the same sequence under 1 other name. Lineage: Bacteria; Pseudomonadati; Pseudomonadota; Gammaproteobacteria; Moraxellales; Moraxellaceae.
UAAACGGCGGCCGUAACUAUAACGGUCCUAAGGUAGCGAAAUUCCUUGUCGGGUAAGUUCCGACCUGCACGAAUGGCAUAAUGAUGGCGGCGCUGUCUCCAGCAGAGGCUCAGUGAAAUCGAAAUCGCUGUGAAGAUGCAGUGUACCCGCGGCUAGACGGAAAGACCCCGUGAACCUUUACUGCAGCUUGACACUGAACUUUGACCUUACUUGUGUAGGAUAGGUGGGAGGCUUUGAAGCUGGAACGCUAGUUCCAGUGGAGCCGUCCUUGAAAUACCACCCUGGUAAUGUUGAGGUUCUAACUCUGUCCCGUGAUCCGGGACGAGGACCGUGUCUGGUGGGUAGUUUGACUGGGGCGGUCUCCUCCUAAAGAGUAACGGAGGAGUACGAAGGUGCGCUCAGCGUGGUCGGAAAUCACGCGUAGAGUAUAAAGGCAAAAGCGCGCUUAACUGCGAGACCCACAAGUCGAGCAGGUACGAAAGUAGGUCUUAGUGAUCCGGUGGUUCUGUAUGGAAGGGCCAUCGCUCAACGGAUAAAAGGUACUCUGGGGAUAACAGGCUGAUACCGCCCAAGAGUUCAUAUCGACGGCGGUGUUUGGCACCUCGAUGUCGGCUCAUCUCAUCCUGGGGCUGAAGCAGGUCCCAAGGGUAUGGCUGUUCGCCAUUUAAAGAGGUACGCGAGCUGGGUUUAGAACGUCGUGAGACAGUUCGGUCCCUAUCUACCGUGGGCGCUGGAAAUUUGAGAGGAUCUGCUCCUAGUACGAGAGGACCAGAGUGGACGAACCUCUGGUGUACCGGUUGUGACGCCAGUCGCAUCGCCGGGUAGCUAUGUUCGGAAGGGAUAACCGCUGAAAGCAUCUAAGCGGGAAGCCUACCUCAAGAUAAGAUUUCCCUAGGACUUUAUGUCCUCUAAAGAGCCGUUCGAGACUAGGACGUUGAUAGGUUGGAUGUGGAAGCAUAGUGAUAUGUGAAGCUGACCAAUACUAAUUGCUCGUGAGGCUUGACUAU